RNAcentral lists this transfer RNA (76 nucleotides) under Camelus bactrianus (Bactrian camel). It matches the Rfam family "tRNA". Rfam says of the family: Transfer RNA (tRNA) molecules are approximately 80 nucleotides in length. Lineage: Eukaryota; Metazoa; Chordata; Mammalia; Artiodactyla; Camelidae. RNAcentral also lists the same sequence under 2 other names. The record is from Rfam by way of RNAcentral.
GAGGGUAUAGCUCAGUGGUAGAGUACUUGCCUAGCGUGAGUACAUGAGGUCCUAGGUUCAAUCCCCAGUACUUCCA